This is a long non-coding RNA of Mus musculus (house mouse), 677 nucleotides long. RefSeq annotates it as predicted gene, 31320. Lineage: Eukaryota; Metazoa; Chordata; Mammalia; Rodentia; Muridae. The transcript is spliced from 4 exons. The record is from RefSeq and is a predicted model, not a curated record.
GUGUUUGGAGAAGCUACAGAAGAAACGUGGAUGGGAUCAGAAUGUGCUGUGUACCAUCUCCUCCACUGCCUCUUCUGAUGUGGGUUCACUUGAUGCUUAAAACACCAGAUAAGGAAGUCAACGCUCACUCAGGACAUCUCUAAUUUUGCUGAAAUUUUGAGUUUACUUAAACUCAAGGUCUAAAUGUAAAGUCAAUUUCUUGACACCAAAUCUGCAACUCACAGUCCCACGAGACAUCAAAGUUCCUGUUGAGGUCAGUGCCAAUGCAGGUGGAGUUUUGGUUCCUGGAACGGUUUUUUCUCCACAUUCGAUCCUGCCAGAAGGGACAAGAGAGGUGUACCUACUUGCAGCUGUGUGAUGGCCAGAGGGUGACAGACGCUUUAGGCAUCUCCAUUGGACAAGCCAUUGGAUGACUUCUGACACCACAUCUAUUUGAGUUAUGCUGAACUUUAGCACAGCCUUGGAUUCAUGUUGCUACCCAGAACUUUGAACAGCUUUCUCCAGCAUGUACAUUAUUUAUGAAAAUUUGAAGUUUGUAUGUAAAAUAUUUCACCAAUAAAUCUUAUAUUGGUUAUAUGAUUAAACAAUAGUAUUUUGGGGUACAUUUAAUUAAAUAAAAUUAACUAUACCUAUUGCCCUUUCUUUUACAAUAAAAUACUAGCAUGUUUGAAAUCAUA